RNAcentral lists this ribosomal RNA (823 nucleotides) under uncultured organism. RNAcentral's name for it is "bacterial SSU rRNA". It matches the Rfam family "Bacterial small subunit ribosomal RNA", at positions 676 to 1510 of the family's 1533-position model. The record is from RNAcentral.
UAGCGGUAAAAUGCGCAGAUAUCGGAAGGAACACCAGUGGCGAAGGCGGUGCUCUGGGGUGUGCCUGACGCUGAGAGACGAAAGCUAGGGGAGCGAACAGGAUUAGAGACCCUGGUAGUCCUAGCCCUAAACGAUGGAUGCUAGAUGUGGGGCCGAGAAGGCUCCGUGUCGCAGUUAACGCGGUAAGCAUCCCGCCUGGGGAUUACGGCCGCAAGGCUAAAACUCAAACGAAUUGACGGGGCCCCGCACAAGCAGCGGAGCGUGUGGUUUAAUUCGAUGCUACACGAAGAACCUUACCUGGGUUUGACAUGUAAGUGGUAGUGAAGCGAAAGCGGAGCGACCCUUCGGGGAGCUUACACAGGUGCUGCAUGGCUGUCGUCAGCUCGUGCCGUGAGGUGUCGGGUUAAGUCCCGUAACGAGCGCAACCCUUGCCCUUAGUUACAAGUGUCUAAGGGGACUGCCGGCGGUAAGCCGGAGGAAGGUGGGGAUGACGUCAAGUCAGCAUGGCCCUUAUAUCCAGGGCUACACACACGCUACAAUGGUCAGUACGAAGGGCAGCGAAGCCGCGAGGUGAAGCGAAUCCCACCAAAGCUGAUCUAAGUUCGGAUUGCAGGCUGCAACUCGCCUGCAUGAAGCUGGAGUUGCUAGUAACCGCGCGUCAGCCAUAGUGCGGUGAAUACGUUCCCGGGGCUUGUACACACCGCCCGUCACGUCAUGGGAGUCGGUAACGCCUGAAGCUGGUAGUCUGGCCCACACGGGGGGACGCCAUCUAAGGCGGGGCUGGCAACUGGGACGAAGUCGUAACAAGGUAACCAAGGGCGAA